This 420-nucleotide unclassified non-coding RNA is filed under the name soil metagenome. RNAcentral's name for it is "partial contains 5.8S ribosomal RNA, internal transcribed spacer 2, and large subunit ribosomal RNA". The stretch from base 1 to 120 matches the Rfam family "5.8S ribosomal RNA", at positions 35 to 154 of the family's 154-position model. The record is from RNAcentral.
GAUGAAGAACGUAGCGAAAUGCGAUACGUAAUGUGAAUUGCAGAAUUCAGUGAAUCAUCGAAUCUUUGAACGCAUAUUGCGCUCUUUGGUAUUCCGAAGAGCAUGCUUGUUUGAGUAUCAGUAAACACCUCAACCUCUUCUUGAUUUUUCAAAAGGAGGGUGGACUUGAGCUAUCCCAACAACCUUUACCGGUCGGCGGGCGGCUUGAAAUGCAGGUGCAGCUGGACUUUUAUCUGAGCUAAAAGCAUAUCUAUUUAGUCCUCGUCAAACAGGAUUAUUACUUUUGCUGCAGCUAACAUAAAGGAUAAUUGUCCUCUUUGCUGACUGAUGCAGGAUUUUACGACACUUUAUGUGUUGUUCAACUCGAUCUCAAAUCAAGUAAGACUACCCGCUGAACUUAAGCAUAUCAAUAAGCGGGGA